UGGUGGUGACUCAGUGGUUAAGGCUUCGGGCUAAUGAGCAAAAUGUUGUGAGUUCAAAUCUCAAGACUACCAA
This is a non-coding RNA of Pangasianodon gigas (Mekong giant catfish), 73 nucleotides long. The record is from the annotation of a GenBank genome assembly. NCBI's taxonomy places the organism in Eukaryota, Metazoa, Chordata, Actinopteri, Siluriformes, Pangasiidae.